UUUGACCUCGGAUCAGGUAGGGUUACCCGCUGAACUUAAGCAUAUCAAUAAGCGGAGGAAAAGAAACCAACAGGAUUGCCUCAGUAACGGCAGUGAAUAGGGUUACCCGCUGAACUUAAGCAUAUCAAUAAGCGGAGGAAAAGAAACCAACAGGAUUGCCUCAGUAACGGCAGUGA
RNAcentral lists this ribosomal RNA (176 nucleotides) under Pseudallescheria angusta. RNAcentral's name for it is "partial 28S ribosomal RNA". It matches the Rfam family "Eukaryotic large subunit ribosomal RNA", at positions 1 to 188 of the family's 3401-position model. The record is from RNAcentral. Lineage: Eukaryota; Fungi; Ascomycota; Sordariomycetes; Microascales; Microascaceae.